RNAcentral lists this ribosomal RNA (19 nucleotides) under Beauveria bassiana. RNAcentral's name for it is "partial 18S ribosomal RNA". Lineage: Eukaryota; Fungi; Ascomycota; Sordariomycetes; Hypocreales; Cordycipitaceae. The record is from RNAcentral.
AGUAAAAAGUCGUAACAAG